UGGAUAUACAGGUAUCGACAACAAAACCACACAUGCCGUUGCUCUGCUCCUGCGGCAGUAGCAGGGCAACUUGCUGCUGCUACAAAAUGCAACAAUGCCUAUCUUGGCAUCAUCGGCUCAUGUGGGUGCCGUAUGGUUGGACUUGGGGGAUGAGGUUGGUGACCAGACCAGCUCGCCGUAACUUGUUCUACCUAGCCUAGAUUAGGGUCCCGAAAUAUUAAAACCUUUGGAUGCUAGUAUCGGCCGGCCGGGAUCCAGGAUGACCCGUGAUCGAAGCAGGUAUUUGCAGUGUAGUGCCAGAAUUUAUCUACCGCUACUCCAGCACAACCAGUACGUUUCAUCUCACCGCGCACACGAGGAUUGAUUAGACUUUUUCAGUCGGAUGAUUGGAUAGGAUUUUUGUUCAAGGUCACGAAUCACGCUAAGUCGUCUGGUUGGAUCCCUCUGUUCUAAAAUACUGUACGUUGCCGCCGCAUUGUCAUCAACCGGGUUAAAUCAAAUGCAUAAAUACACAUGAAUAUAUGUUUAAAAAUAAGAAAAAUAUAAAAAGUGUUCU
RNAcentral lists this long non-coding RNA (556 nucleotides) under Brachypodium distachyon (stiff brome). RNAcentral's name for it is "long non-coding RNA (BDIS_LNC005081)". Lineage: Eukaryota; Viridiplantae; Streptophyta; Magnoliopsida; Poales; Poaceae. The record is from RNAcentral.